This 84-nucleotide transfer RNA is filed under the name Halomarina oriensis. RNAcentral's name for it is "tRNA-Leu". It matches the Rfam family "tRNA". From Rfam's summary of the family: Transfer RNA (tRNA) molecules are approximately 80 nucleotides in length. Their secondary structure includes four short double-helical elements and three loops (D, anti-codon, and T loops). Lineage: Archaea; Methanobacteriati; Methanobacteriota; Halobacteria; Halobacteriales; Natronomonadaceae. The record is from RNAcentral.
GCGAGGGUAGCCAAGUCAGGAAACGGCGGCGGACUCAAGAUCCGCUCCUGUAGAGGUCCGCAGGUUCAAAUCCUGCCCCUCGCA